Molecule: unclassified non-coding RNA, 374 nt
Filed under: soil metagenome
Description: partial contains internal transcribed spacer 2 and large subunit ribosomal RNA
Rfam family: 5.8S ribosomal RNA (bases 1-120)
Source: RNAcentral
GAUGAAGAACGCAGCGAAAUGCGAUAAUUAAUGUGAAUUGCAGAAUUCUGUGAAUCAUCGAGUCUUUGAACGCACAUUGCGCCUCAUGGCAUUCCGUGAGGCAUGCCCAUCUCAGCGUUAGAAAAUAUUCUCAAAUUUUAGUUUUGUGCUAAAAUUUGGAUCAUGUCAAAGAAGCUAUUACUAUUAUUGUGAUCGCUCUUUGGAAAUUGAUAGGUCUUUGAGUUGCUACUCAUAGAACGUGAUGAAUCUUUCUUCGUUCUAUUGUAAUUCACUCUGGUAGUCCUAAAACUUGUAUGCCUGUGGCAUAUCUUGUAAUUUGACCUGAGAUUGGGUAGGGAUACCCGCUGAACUUAAGCAUAUCAAUAAGCGGAGGA